GACGAACGCUGGCGGCGUGCCUAACACAUGCAAGUCGAGCGAGAGGAGUUCUUCGGAAUGAAUCUAGCGGCGGACGGGUGAGUAACACGUGGGCAACCUACCUUAUAGAGGGGAAUAGCCUUCCGAAAGGAAGAUUAAUACCGCAUAACAUUGCAGUUUCGCAUGAAACAGUAAUUAAAGGAGAAAUCCGCUAUAAGAUGGGCCCGCGGCGCAUUAGCUAGUUGGUGAGGUAAAGGCUCACCAAGGCGACGAUGCGUAGCCGACCUGAGAGGGUGAUCGGCCACAUUGGGACUGAGACACGGCCCAGACUCCUACGGGAGGCUG
This 324-nucleotide ribosomal RNA is filed under the name uncultured Bacillota bacterium. RNAcentral's name for it is "bacterial SSU rRNA". It matches the Rfam family "Bacterial small subunit ribosomal RNA", at positions 28 to 351 of the family's 1533-position model. The record is from RNAcentral. Lineage: Bacteria; Bacillati; Bacillota.